RNAcentral lists this ribosomal RNA (253 nucleotides) under uncultured bacterium. RNAcentral describes it as "partial 16S ribosomal RNA". It matches the Rfam family "Bacterial small subunit ribosomal RNA", at positions 524 to 776 of the family's 1533-position model. The record is from RNAcentral.
UACGUAGGGUGCAAGCGUUACUCGGAAUUACUGGGCGUAAAGCGUGCGCAGGCGGUUAUGUAAGUCAGAUGUGAAAUCCCCGGGCUCAACCUGGGAACUGCAUUUGUGACUGCAUAGCUAGAGUACGGUAGAGGGGGAUGGAAUUCCGCGUGUAGCAGUGAAAUGCGUAGAUAUGCGGAGGAACACCGAUGGCGAAGGCAAUCCCCUGGACCUGUACUGACGCUCAUGCACGAAAGCGUGGGGAGCAAACAGG